This 377-nucleotide ribosomal RNA is filed under the name uncultured Anoxybacillus sp. RNAcentral describes it as "bacterial SSU rRNA". It matches the Rfam family "Bacterial small subunit ribosomal RNA", at positions 1007 to 1382 of the family's 1533-position model. The record is from RNAcentral. Lineage: Bacteria; Bacillati; Bacillota; Bacilli; Caryophanales; Anoxybacillaceae.
AGGAGUUCUGCCUUCGGGUAGACAGGGAGACAGGUGGUGCAUGGUUGUCGUCAGCUCGUGUCGUGAGAUGUUGGGUUAAGUCCCGCAACGAGCGCAACCCUCGACCUUAGUUGCCAGCAUUCAGUUGGGCACUCUAAGGUGACUGCCGGCUAAAAGUCGGAGAAGGUGGGGAUGACGUCAAAUCAUCAUGCCCCUUAUGACCUGGGCUACACACGUGCUACAAUGGGCGGUACAAAGGGUCGCGAACCCGCGAGGGGGAGCCAAUCCCAAAAAAGCCGACUCUCAGUUCGGAUUGCAGGCUGCAACUCGCCUGCAUGAAGCCGGAAUCGCUAGUAAUCGCGGAUCAGCAUGCCGCGGUGAAUACGUUCCCGGGCCUU